AAUCAACGCUGGCGGCGUGCCUAACACAUGCAAGUCGCACGAGAAAGGGGAGCAAUCCCUGAGUAAAGUGGCGCACGGGUGAGUAACACGUGAAUGAUCUACCUCCGAGUGGGGAAUAACUGAGAGAAAUCUUAGCUAAUACCGCAUAAUACCCACGGGUCAAAGCAGCAAUGCGCUUGGAGAGGAGUUCGCGGCCGAUUAGCUAGUUGGCGGGGUAAUGGCCCACCAAGGCGAUGAUCGGUAUCCGGCCUGAGAGGGCGCACGGACACACUGGAACUGAAACACGGUCCAGACUCCUACGGGAGGCAGCAGUGGGGAAUUUUGCGCAAUGGGGGAAACCCUGACGCAGCAACGCCGCGUGGAGGAUGAAGCCCCUUGGGGUGUAAACUCCUUUCGAUCGGGAAGAUAAUGACGGUACCGAUAUAAGAAGCCCCGGCUAACUUCGUGCCAGCAGCCGCGGUAAUACGAGGGGGGCAAGCGUUGUUCGGAAUUAUUGGGCGUAAAGGGUGCGUAGGCGGUUUGACAAGUCUGAUGUGAAAUCUAUGGGCUCAACCCAUAGUCUGCAUUAGAAACUGUCGGGCUUGAGUAUGGGAGAGGUGAGUGGAAUUUCCGGUGUAGCGGUGAAAUGCGUAGAUAUCGGAAGGAACACCUGUGGCGAAAGCGGCUCACUGGACCAUAACUGACGCUGAGGCACGAAAGCUAGGGGAGCAAACAGGAUUAGAUACCCUGGUAGUCCUAGCCCUAAACGAUGAUUGUUUGAUGUAGCAGGUACCCAAUCCUGCUGUGUCGAAGCUAACGCGAUAAACAAUCCGCCUGGGGAGUACGGUCGCAAGGCUG
Molecule: ribosomal RNA, 837 nt
Filed under: uncultured bacterium
Lineage: Bacteria
Description: bacterial SSU rRNA
Rfam family: Bacterial small subunit ribosomal RNA
Source: RNAcentral